GGGGGUGUACUGGUUUCGACGGGGAUCGCCGGGGGUAUGAGAAGCGAGCCGUGUUCCCUGAACACGUUAAACACGGGGAAUUAAAAAUUAACUGACAACAGCGAAAUCGCUUUCGCGGCCUAAGGGCUGCGCGUCGGCCUCAAGCGCUCACGGCUUGAGUCACCGGCGUCAUUGAUGUGAGGAACUGGCCCGCCAAAGCUUUGAGGCGAAGCCGGAAUCAUGAAGCUACCGAGGUUCGGAGCCCGGCUGUGGGCGCCUGACUGAGGGAAAUCAAAAACGCAGCCUGCGCUCGGAGAAACUUGUGCAAUCGGAUCUUCGGACAGGAGUUCGAUUCUCCUCACCUCCACCA
This 349-nucleotide transfer-messenger RNA is filed under the name Christensenellales. RNAcentral's name for it is "RUG756 sp900322115 Standard tmRNA". It matches the Rfam family "transfer-messenger RNA". Rfam says of the family: Bacterial tmRNA, also known as 10Sa RNA or SsrA, is named for its dual tRNA and mRNA-like properties. The record is from RNAcentral. RNAcentral also lists the same sequence under 1 other name. Lineage: Bacteria; Bacillati; Bacillota; Clostridia.